RNAcentral lists this ribosomal RNA (429 nucleotides) under Actinomycetes bacterium. Its description in RNAcentral is "Actinobacteria bacterium partial 16S ribosomal RNA". It matches the Rfam family "Bacterial small subunit ribosomal RNA", at positions 355 to 776 of the family's 1533-position model. The record is from RNAcentral. Lineage: Bacteria; Bacillati; Actinomycetota; Actinomycetes.
UAGGGAAUCUUCCGCAAUGGGCGAAAGCCUGACGGAGCAACGCCGCGUGAGUGAUGAAGGUCUUCGGAUCGUAAAACUCUGUUAUUAGGGAAGAACAAAUGUGUAAGUAACUAUGCACGUCUUGACGGUACCUAAUCAGAAAGCCACGGCUAACUACGUGCCAGCAGCCGCGGUAAUACGUAGGUGGCAAGCGUUAUCCGGAAUUAUUGGGCGUAAAGCGCGCGUAGGCGGUUUUUUAAGUCUGAUGUGAAAGCCCACGGCUCAACCGUGGAGGGUCAUUGGAAACUGGAAAACUGGAGUGCAGAAGAGGAAAGUGGAAUUCCAUGUGUAGCGGUGAAAUGCGCGGAGAUAUGGAGGAACACCAGUGGCGAAGGCGACUUUCUGGUCUGUAACUGACGCUGAUGUGCGAAAGCGUGGGGAUCAAACAGG